This 200-nucleotide ribosomal RNA is filed under the name uncultured eukaryote. Its description in RNAcentral is "partial 18S ribosomal RNA". It matches the Rfam family "Eukaryotic small subunit ribosomal RNA", at positions 588 to 794 of the family's 1831-position model. The record is from RNAcentral.
GCUCCAAUAGCGUAUAUUUAAGUUGUUGCAGUUAAAAAGCUCGUAGUUGGAUUUCGGAUGGGUUUGACCGGUCCGCCUUUGGUGUGCACUGGUCGCGCUAUCUUGCUGUCGGGGACGCGCUCCUGGCCUUAAUUGGCUGGGACGCGGAGUCGGCGAUGUUACUUUGAAAAAAUUAGAGUGUUCAAGCAGGCCUAAGCUCU